UAGGGAAUCUUCCACAAUGGACGCAAGUCUGAUGGAGCAACGCCGCGUGAGUGAAGAAGGUCUUCGGAUCGUAAAGCUCUGUUGUUGGUGAAGAAGGAUAGAGGCAGUAACUGGUCUUUAUUUGACGGUAAUCAACCAGAAAGUCACGGCUAACUACGUGCCAGCAGCCGCGGUAAUACGUAGGUGGCAAGCGUUGUCCGGAUUUAUUGGGCGUAAAGCGAGCGCAGGCGGAAUGAUAAGUCUGAUGUGAAAGCCCACGGCUCAACCGUGGAACUGCAUCGGAAACUGUCAUUCUUGAGUGCAGAAGAGGAGAGUGGAACUCCAUGUGUAGCGGUGGAAUGCGUAGAUAUAUGGAAGAACACCAGUGGCGAAGGCGGCUCUCUGGUCUGCAACUGACGCUGAGGCUCGAAAGCAUGGGUAGCGAACAGGAUUAGAUACCCUGGUAGUCCAUGCCGUAAACGAUGAGCGCUAGGUGUUGGGGACUUUCCGGUCCUCAGUGCCGCAGCAAACGCUUAAGCGCUCCGCCUGGGGAGUACGACCGCAAGGUUGAA
RNAcentral lists this ribosomal RNA (551 nucleotides) under uncultured bacterium. RNAcentral's name for it is "partial 16S ribosomal RNA". It matches the Rfam family "Bacterial small subunit ribosomal RNA", at positions 355 to 898 of the family's 1533-position model. The record is from RNAcentral.